Molecule: ribosomal RNA, 460 nt
Filed under: uncultured bacterium
Lineage: Bacteria
Description: partial 16S ribosomal RNA
Rfam family: Bacterial small subunit ribosomal RNA
Source: RNAcentral
CCUACGGGUGGCUGCAGUGAGGAAUAUUGGUCAAUGGGCGCGAGCCUGAACCAGCCAAGCAGCGUGAAGGAUGACUGCCCUACGGGUUGUAAACCUCUUUUAUAAAGGAAUAAAGUGAGGCACGUGUCCCUUUCUGCAUGUACUUUAUGAAUAAGGAUCGGCUAACUCCGUGCCAGCAGCCGCGGUAAUACGGAGGAUCCGAGCGUUAUCCGGAUUUAUUGGGGUUAAAGGGAGCGUAGAUGGGUUGUUAAGUCAGUUGUGAAAUUUUGCGGCUCAACCGUAAAAUUGCAAUUGAUACUGGCAGUCUUGAGUACAGGUGAGGUAGGCGGAAUGCGUGGUGUAGCGGUGAAAUGCUUAGAUAUCGCGAAGAACUCCGAUUGCGAAGGCAGCUUACUAAACUGCCACUGACAUUGAUGCACGAAAGUGUGGGUAUCAAACAGGAUUAGAUACCCGAGUAGUC